AUGGGCAGCUGGGGAGUGUAGGGGCUGAGGGAGCUCCCUGGGUGAAUUCUGCCUCAGCUCUCUGCUUCAGCCAACCUUUAUUGAGCAUUUACUGUGUGCCAGGCACUCGCACAAGCAAUUUGAACUUCAUCACCUCAUUUCUUCCUCUGGCAACGUUAUGAGCAGGUCCAGACCCUCUGCAAGGUGCCCGGGACUGUGGAGAGUGGACAGACAGGGCGCCUGCACUCGCACGGUUCCUGGCCUGAGGAUGACGGACAUUCGCAGAAACAGUUAUGCUGAGAGGACAGUCCCAGGAGCACUUCUAACGGAGCCCAGCCCCGACCUGAGGGUCAGGGUGGACGCCCUUGGGGACAACUGGGAACAGGCCUGGGGAAACAGACUUGCUCAAGCCAGUUUCAGUCAGUGGCCUCACCUCCCCAGGCCUCUUGUCUCUUGGCUGCUUCUCCUCUUGUCACAGCCAGCUCUGGUUGUCCCUGCAGGACAUCCACCUCUGUCGUUGAGAGGUGCCCUUGGGCUGCCACCAGGCCUCAGUCCUGCAGCUCCCAGGGGGAGGGCAUGUCCAGGCCAAUUCCUGGGAACCCACCCAGCCAGGUGCCCGCUGGCCGAGCCCUGGGGGAGGAGCCUCAGGACUCUGGGCCCUGGCUGAGGCUGGGGGAGGGGUGUCUUCCAUGACAGUGACCCCCCUCAUGCCUGAGCUCCCUCUCUGACCCUGCCUUCCCUACCCCCUGCCUCCUCAGCUCCCAAGGUUGUGGCCACAGCCCCCUCCUCUUCUCCUCUCUCGUUCUCUUGCCCCCGACCCAACCUCACCACCGCCACCACCCGCCUCAUAUAUCUCAUCUUCUCUUCUGCACCCACCUGUCACCUUCCUGCUCCUUAGUUCUGACCUCCGGGCAGUUUCAGCUUGGCCCUUCCAUCUGGAUGUCCCCAGAACCCCUCCACCUCACUGAGCCCCCAAACUGUUCUUUGAUCCAUUCAGUAGACAUCUAAUGGGCACCCACCAUGCCUGGCCCUUGUUGGACAUUCACAAUUCACAGGAAUAAAACAACACAGCCCACGCCCUCCUGGGGCUUGCCUUCUUCUAUGUGCUCAUUCACAGAUUCAUUCAACAAACACUUCUUAGGCUGGGGCAGGGGGUGGCCCCAACUGUCAGGAAAGCUGUAGUCUGUGCCCC
Equus asinus (donkey) is the source of this 1171-nucleotide long non-coding RNA. NCBI's taxonomy places the organism in Eukaryota, Metazoa, Chordata, Mammalia, Perissodactyla, Equidae. The record is from Ensembl.